AACUUUCAGCAACGGAUCUCUUGGCUCUCGCAUCGAUGAAGGACGUAGCA
This 50-nucleotide ribosomal RNA is filed under the name uncultured Lepiota. RNAcentral's name for it is "partial 5.8S ribosomal RNA". It matches the Rfam family "5.8S ribosomal RNA", at positions 1 to 50 of the family's 154-position model. Rfam says of the family: 5.8S ribosomal RNA (5.8S rRNA) is a component of the large subunit of the eukaryotic ribosome. Lineage: Eukaryota; Fungi; Basidiomycota; Agaricomycetes; Agaricales; Agaricaceae. The record is from RNAcentral.